UGUGCAAUUCAAUGUGAUUUGAUUAUUUAUAAAAUUAUUUAGUUAAUUUUUAUGAAAUUAUUCUUUUUUUUAUUAUUUAAUUUGAAAAAAGAUUUUUAAUUAUAGUUUAUUAGUAAAGUGAUUGAAUUUUGAAAUAUUUAUUUAUAUUUAUAUAAGAAGAGUUAAUUUUUUGUACCUUGUGUAUCAGGGUUGAUUUAAUAAAAAUUAUUUAUUUAAUUUUCUCGAAUUAAGAAGGGCUAUUUUGAUAUUAAUUUAAUUGUUACAUAAAUUUUUUUAAUAUUUCUAUAGUAAUGAAAUGUUAUUCGUUUUUUAAUAUAUCUAGUUUUUUAAGAAAAGAAUUAAAUUCUAUUAUUAUUUAUUAAAAGUUAAUUUUUAACUUUUAGGUUUUAAUAUUAAACAUUUAAGGGGAUGAGCUUUUAAUUGUAACUCUAUAAACAUUAGGUUUUUAAUAAUUUGUAUAAUUAGAAUUGUUAAUCUUUAGAAUAAUUUUAUAGUUGAUUUUUUGUUGUUAUUAUUUAUAUUUGUUUUAGGUUUUAUAUUGAAAUAUAAUUUUUAAUUUUUAUUUAUUAUUGAUAAUGAUUAAAUUAGUAAAUUUGAAUUGUUUAAAUGUUUCUUUUUGAAAGGUUUAUAAAAGGAAUUCGGCAAAUUUUGUUUUUCGCCUGUUUAUUAAAAACAUGUCCUUUUGAUAAUAAUUUAAGGUCUGGUCUGCUCAAUGAAAAUUUAAAUUGCCGCGGUAUUCUGACCGUGCAAAGGUAGCAUAAUAAUUAGUUUUUUUAUUGAAAGCUGGAAUGAAUGAUUGGACGAGAAAACAACUGUCUCUUUAAAAAUUUUUGUUUAAUUUAACUUUUAAGUAAGAAGGCUUAGAUAUUUAUUAAAGACGAGAAGACCCUAUAGAGUUUUAUAUUUAUUGAGUAAUAAUUUAUUUGGAAUUUUUUAUUUUUUUAUUUUUUAAUUAUUUGGUUGGGGUGACUAAAAGAUUUAUUAAACUCUUUUAAUUUUGUUAUCAUUGAUUUGUGAAUUGAUUAUCUAGAUUUUUUAAAUUUAAGAUAAAUUACCUUAGGGAUAACAGCGUAAUUUCUUUUUAGAGUUCUUAUCAAUAAAGAAGUUUGCGACCUCGAUGUUGGAUUAAAAUUUAUUUUUGGUGCAAAAGCUUAAAUAUUAAGUCUGUUCGACUUUUAAAAUUUUACAUGAUCUGAGUUUAAACCGGUGUGAGCCAGGUUGGUUUCUAUCUUAAUCCAUUUAUUACAUUUUAGUACGAAAGGACCGGAUGUUGGAUAUAUUUUAUUUUAUUUUUGAAUAUUAUUAGUUACUUUGGCAGAUUAGUGCAAUUGAUUUAGAAUCUUUAAAUGUAAAUUUUUACAGGUAAU
RNAcentral lists this ribosomal RNA (1367 nucleotides) under Agriotes obscurus (dusky wireworm). RNAcentral describes it as "16S ribosomal RNA". The stretch from base 1062 to 1220 matches the Rfam family "Archaeal large subunit ribosomal RNA", at positions 2542 to 2701 of the family's 2987-position model. Lineage: Eukaryota; Metazoa; Arthropoda; Insecta; Coleoptera; Elateridae. The record is from RNAcentral.